This 253-nucleotide ribosomal RNA is filed under the name uncultured bacterium. Its description in RNAcentral is "partial 16S ribosomal RNA". It matches the Rfam family "Bacterial small subunit ribosomal RNA", at positions 524 to 776 of the family's 1533-position model. The record is from RNAcentral.
UACGUAGGGGGCAAGCGUUGUCCGGAUUUAUUGGGCGUAAAGCGCACGCAGGCGGUCUUUUAAGUUUUGAGUGACAGGCGAGGGCUUAACCCUGGCAGGCCUUGGAAAACUGGAAGACUUGAGGGCGAGAGAGGGAUGCGGAAUUCCAGGUGGAGCGGUGAAAUGCGUAGAGAUCUGGAAGAACACCGAAGGCGAAGGCAGCAUCCCGGAGCGUUACUGACGCUGAUGUGCGAAAGCUAGGGGAGCGAACGGG